GUUUCGCUCUUCCAUUCCAUCUGUAACGCUCCAUUCUGACGUUUUUUUCUGGGUUCCUUUUCUCCUUCUCUGCACCGUUUCUCUCAAGGGCUUCAAAAUUGACAGAGGUCGAGACAGUGGUGGUGUGAACGAUUCAGCCAUCUUCGCUUUCCAUCAGAGUCGGCCAUGUUUCAGCCCAGACUUUCAGAGUUGUUAUCAAACAUCGGUACGUUUGAGUCCCUUUCUUUACGCUUUCACUGAGGCGUUUAUGGGAACCAUUCUUGCUCGGAAUCUGCCGCUCCAAUAAGCGUAUCAUCCAAUUUGUCUCAAUCAAAUAUGAACCUGAGCGCACCAUUGAAAAGGUUGUUAGAUGUUGCUUGGAAGCCACUGUGGCCAAAACCUUCUAAUGUCAGAUUGCUUAGUUGUUGAGAUAAAGGAAUCAGAGUCUGUACCUGAUGGUACCCCAAUAGAUGGUUCAAGAAUGUAGUUUAAAUGCAUUUGAGGUUUUUGUAUGCUGAUGCAUCCUUACCAGUUUGAAGCUGUUAAGAGUUCUAAUGUUUCUAUUGAUCUGUCAAUUCUUUGAAUGUAUAAUAUCUAGAAAUAAGGUUUUUCUAUUAUUGUGUAUUCUUGAAGUUGUCAAUUAUAAAAAAGACCCUCGGCCGACAUAGGUUUCAGUAUGAAAUCUAUGCUUUUUAGAGAUUGUUACGAUUAAUUAAAUUUAUUCGAAUACCCAUGGUGGAGACUUUGAAUCAGCUUUCUCUCCAAAUUUCUCUUCCCUUUCUCUUCUUCUGCGACUCCCUCCCCGUGCCUAUGAUCCUGGCCUCUGAAUCAGUUUUCAUUUUGAUUGCUGAUUUCCACACAUCAUUUUUUCAGUCUUCAAGGAGAAUGGUGAAGAUGAAGUAAGUUAAAGGAUCAUUUUUUUAGUCUGAAGGAUGUUUUUUCACUUUCUCUGGCGGGAAAGUUGCUCAGGCCUUAGUGGGGUAGCUGCAGAACCAUCACAAAAUCUUCCAUGUUGCUACUGGGAAGGGCCAAGAGUAAUGUUUCUUUUAUUCACUUUAGGUAAUACCAUAUAGGGAGAAGAAAUUAGCUGACAUAUAUGCGUCUGAAAUGCGUAAUAGGAGGCAUGUGCCGAGCAUGUUAGAGUUGAAAGGAAUGUGCUUGCAGAAGUUGUCAGUGAUUUAAUUGUGAAACUGUAUUACUCCAUGUGACCAAAUUAAAUAGCAGGUUCCAUGAUAUUUUUCCUUCUUUCCCUGACUUUUCAAUCCUUUAUUUCAAUGAUGAUCCUAAAUGGUUAGAGCAUAGUGUGUUUCUUAAAGCAUCUCAACCAUUGUUUUUCACUUAUCGGUGUUCAAUAUUUUCCUUCUUUGAGAUACUCACAUGCAAGUUUUACCUCCUUAUUAAUUCGUAUUUUGUUUUUCGGUAGCAGAACAUUAUUGUUCUCCAAACAUAUGCAGUUCUCUCCAGGGCCUUUGACUCAUCUGUUUCAGUUAAAGACCCUCAUUCCUACCAUGGUGUUGACUUAGGAGGAGUUCGUACUAGGGCCUUCUAAAGUUUAUUUCUUUUUCCCCCCAUUGCACUGAUAAAAAAUUGACUCCAAUUGCAGAGCAAAGGUCAGCUGCCAAUCUGAAAAGGUCCUGUAAGUGUUGCUGAAAAUAUAUGGGAAAAAAGGCAUUCGCAGCAUCUAUUGGACUGGGCAUCACUGUGAUGAGGGAUGUGCCUUCUCAUGGUUCAUACUUUUGGACAUAUGAAUACUUGAGAGAGCAUCUCCAUCCAUGUUGUAGAAAAGGCGGUUAAGAAAGUCUGAAUACAAAGGCAUUAUUGAUUGCUUCAAAAUGAGCAUUAGCGCAAUAAGAUACUUUGUGCAAUGGCAGGGUUUAGUGAUGCAUCAUGUUUUAAAUACAGAAUGAAAUUAAGAACAUGGAGAUAGGUCCUUUACCAAAGAAAAUAGAUUUUGAUGUAAAAUUUGAGCUUUUUUGUUUACCAAUUUUGUUGUUUCUGUGUC
Molecule: long non-coding RNA, 1981 nt
Organism: Lotus japonicus
Lineage: Eukaryota; Viridiplantae; Streptophyta; Magnoliopsida; Fabales; Fabaceae
Exons: 7
Source: RefSeq, a predicted model, not a curated record